AGCUCCAAUAGCGUAUAUUAAAGUUGUUGCAGUUAAAAAGCUCGUAGUUGGAUUUCUGGUGGGAGCGUUGGGCCGGCCCUAAGGGUCUGAGCUCAAAUGUUUUCCGCCAUCCUUGGAGGGAUGUUGUCUGGCAUUAAGUUGUCGGGCUUCCGAUCUCCAUCGUUUACUGUGAAAAAAUUAGAGUGUUCAAAGCAGGCUUAUGCCGUUGAAUACAUUAGCAUGGAAUAAUAAGAUAGGACCUUGGUACUAUUUUGUUGGUUUGCGUACCUAGGUAAUGAUUAAUAGGGACAGUUGGGGAUAUUACUAUUUCGUUGUCAGAGGUGAAAUUCUUGGAUUUACGAAAGAGUAACUACUGCGAAAGCAUUUAUCAAGGAUGUUUUCAUUA
RNAcentral lists this ribosomal RNA (385 nucleotides) under uncultured bolidophyte. RNAcentral describes it as "SSU rRNA". It matches the Rfam family "Eukaryotic small subunit ribosomal RNA", at positions 587 to 975 of the family's 1831-position model. Lineage: Eukaryota; Bolidophyceae. The record is from RNAcentral.